GAUGAAGAACGUAGUGAAAUGUGAUACUUGGUGUGAAUUGCAGAAUCCCGUGAACCAUCGAGUCUUUGAACGCAAGUUGCGCCCGAAGCCAUUAGGCCGAGGGCACGCCUGCCUGGGCGUCACACGUCGUUGCCCCCCCAUCUACUCCUUCGGGAUUGCGGGGGGCGGAUGAUGGCCUCUCGUGCGCCUCGUCGCGCGGUUGGCCUAAAUGCCAAGUCCUCGGCGACGCACGCCACGACAAUCGGUGGUUGCGAAACCUCGGUUGCCUGUCGUGUGCGGUCGUCGCGCAUCGAGGGCUCGAAAAAAUUGCCGGGCUUCGGCUCGACUUUCAACGCGACCCCAGGUCAGGCGGGGUUACCCGCUGAAUUUAAGCAUAUCAAUAAGCGGAGGA
RNAcentral lists this unclassified non-coding RNA (391 nucleotides) under soil metagenome. Its description in RNAcentral is "partial contains 5.8S ribosomal RNA, internal transcribed spacer 2, and large subunit ribosomal RNA". The stretch from base 1 to 122 matches the Rfam family "5.8S ribosomal RNA", at positions 35 to 154 of the family's 154-position model. The record is from RNAcentral.